GGAGAAGAAGCCGAUCGCCCUGGUAAACGCCAGCCGACUGCAAAGCUCCUGCCGUGCCGUAUUGUGCCGUGAAAUAAUUAUAUCGCUACUCGAAGGAUGUCUCUUGGCAAGAGGUACCUACGCAAUGACCCCCACACAUGUCUGGACUCCUCCGGCGAAAGCAUCUCCUCUCCCGGUGUCGCGGGGACGGACAGAGCGACGGCCACGUUCGGAAGCUGCAUCUGCUGCCUCGGAGUUCUGCUAGUCGCCGUCGUCAUCUUCGUCCACUUGGCCCUCGGUCAGCCCUCGGCGUUACUGAAUCCCCCCACUGAUCAGCUGGAACCCCUCACUGCCUUGACGUUCGACCGCCAGCAGCCAAGGAACACG
Long non-coding RNA from Dermacentor albipictus, 366 nucleotides. RefSeq lists it as uncharacterized. Lineage: Eukaryota; Metazoa; Arthropoda; Arachnida; Ixodida; Ixodidae. The record is from RefSeq and is a predicted model, not a curated record.